RNAcentral lists this ribosomal RNA (430 nucleotides) under Pseudomonadota bacterium. Its description in RNAcentral is "Proteobacteria bacterium partial 16S ribosomal RNA". It matches the Rfam family "Bacterial small subunit ribosomal RNA", at positions 355 to 776 of the family's 1533-position model. Lineage: Bacteria; Pseudomonadati; Pseudomonadota. The record is from RNAcentral.
UGGGGAAUAUUGGACAAUGGGGGGAACCCUGAUCCAGCCAUGCCGCGUGUGUGAAGAAGGCCUUAUGGUUGUAAAGCACUUUAAGCGAGGAGGAGGGUACUGGUAUUAAUACUACCAGCUACUGGACGUUACUCGCAGAAUAAGCACCGGCUAACUCUGUGCCAGCAGCCGCGGUAAUACAGAGGGUGCGAGCGUUAAUCGGAUUUACUGGGCGUAAAGCGUGCGUAGGCGGCUAAUUGAGUCGGAUGUGAAAUCCCCGAGCUUAACUUGGGAAUUGCAUUCGAUACUGGUUAGCUGGAGUGUGGGAGAGGAUGGUAGAAUUCCAGGUGUAGCGGUGAAAUGCGUAGAGAUCUGGAGGAAUACCGAUGGCGAAGGCAGCCAUCUGGCCUAACACUGACGCUGAGGUACGAAAGCAUGGGGAGCAAACAGG